RNAcentral lists this ribosomal RNA (492 nucleotides) under uncultured bacterium. RNAcentral's name for it is "partial 16S ribosomal RNA". It matches the Rfam family "Bacterial small subunit ribosomal RNA", at positions 29 to 507 of the family's 1533-position model. The record is from RNAcentral.
AGUGAACGCUGGCGGUAGGCCUAACACAUGCAAGUCGAACGGCAGCACAGUAAGAGCUUGCUCUUACGGGUGGCGAGUGGCGGACGGGUGAGGAAUACAUCGAAAUCUACCUUUUCGUGGGGGAUAACGUAGGGAAACUUACGCUAAUACCGCAUACGACCUACGGGUGAAAGCAGGGGAUCUUCGGACCUUGCGCGAUUGAAUGAGCCGAUGUCGGAUUAGCUAGUUGGCGGGGUAAAGGCCCACCAAGGCGACGAUCCGUAGCUGGUCUGAGAGGAUGAUCAGCCACACUGGAACUGAGACACGGUCCAGACUCCUACGGGAGGCAGCAGUGGGGAAUAUUGGACAAUGGGCGCAAGCCUGAUCCAGCCAUACCGCGUGGGUGAAGAAGGCCUUCGGGUUGUAAAGCCCUUUUGUUGGGAAAGAAAAGCAGCAGGUUAAUACCCCGCUGUUCUGACGGUACCCAAAGAAUAAGCACCGGCUAACUUCGUG